RNAcentral lists this long non-coding RNA (642 nucleotides) under Phoenix dactylifera (date palm). RNAcentral describes it as "long non-coding RNA (PDAC_LNC019935)". The record is from RNAcentral. Lineage: Eukaryota; Viridiplantae; Streptophyta; Magnoliopsida; Arecales; Arecaceae.
UGCAAAGUUCUUUCUUCUAUUUAAAUUAUCCACCUCCAUCAUUUUAUUAAAUUCCUCUAGAGUAAAUAAGCCAUUUGAUAUGAUUUAUGAUACUUAUUUUCAUUUCUUUAUUCUCCUAACAAAUGAGAACUUUAAGGCAUACCUUCUAUAAUUAUUUUUCUGAAAAAAGAUAAUGUGUUGGUCAUCCCUAAUGGUGAAGACUAAGCUACAUAUUAUACUUUCAGUUAAGUGUUAGUUGUAGAGAUAAAGUAAACAAGGAAAAUAGUAUAACCACAUAUGUCACACCAUGCAUAUUGAGUUAUAGUUUACCAUUUGCACCCCUAUUUCUGUUGUGAGUUAUGUUCUGUCCUCGAACUAUAAAGAGAUGUUUCUCAGCUGUCCAACAUGAGAAACUCCGAUAGGUGAUUCUCCCACUAUUAAUUUCUUUCACAAUAUAUAGUUUUAACUAGUUUUACCAAGAAAAAUUAUCGUGCUCGGCUAGUGCAGGAAGUAACAAUGGUAACAACAAGAUGGGCUCAGCAUAGCCGAGGCAUCUUAUCAGUUCCUUAUUGUUCUAUCCAAUCAUGAUACUGAUAGGCCUCUCAAUCUUUCCACUAAAGAGAUAGGCUUUUUCAUCUUUAAAAACUUAGAUCUGUGCAUAAU